CAAAUCCAUUUCUCACUCCCACCCUACCCGAUCCACACUUUCCCUUCUCCCUCUCUCUCUCUCCCGCAUGCUCUCUGCUAGACCCGAACGGCUGCCCUCCGAUGGUCGCCGCCGUGUAGACACCGGAUCAGGAGUACCAGACACCGCCGAAACUCCAGCCUCGCGAGCCCUUCGUUGCCGUUCUCCGCCGCGAGCAGAAGCCUCCAGGCUCGUACGUCACUGCCGUGGCUUCAAGGCCAAUUUCUGGCCUCCUCUAACAUCGUCUCAGGCGAAGGGUAGCAUGGGUGAACUCAGUGUAUCAAGACGAACAAAGCCCAGGCAAGGAUCGGGCUUUUAAGUGACCGAAGGAGACGGAAUCAGCUCUCCAUUUGCUGCUCGUAGUCUUCUUCUUAAGACCAGGUUCUAAAUGUCAUGUUCAUCCACAUGAGAGGGGUAUAGUUGAUUUCCACCCUAUAUAUUUCCAUUCAAAUGAGGCCAGUGGAGCUAUGAAACCAAUUACUUAUGGUUCCAUAUAAUUAACGACAGUUGACCAAUCUAGAUUUAGAAGGACUCGAGUUACUAAGGAUGGUAAGUUCACGGCAGAAGGUAACAAGUAGCACCUCAGGGAUGCGUGAGACUGUUGAAACAAGUUUGUUUUUACAACAUAGGGCAAAGGAAGUAGUACCAAUUCUUACUUUGAAAAGACUAUUGGUAACGAGGUUAAGUACAAGGACAAGAAGAAAUAUAUGUUGUUAGACAAUGAAUUUUGUGUUUUAUUUUAUUUGUAAUUUUUAUUAGAAUAAAUUUUUUUUUUUUUAGUGGUUAAUUAUUUAUUUUGUAAGUCUAGUUAUAUAUUUUUGAAGGUAAGGAUUAUUAUGUAUAUAAAUAUGACUGAUUUUUAAGUUAAGUAGUAGUGUUAUAUUUGUCCAAAAUUUGUUUUAUUAGAUAAAUAUUUUGUAUAAGUUUUGUUAUUUUAAUCUAAAAUUUUUAGAUUUGUAUAUAAA
This is a long non-coding RNA of Humulus lupulus (European hop), 983 nucleotides long. RefSeq lists it as uncharacterized. Lineage: Eukaryota; Viridiplantae; Streptophyta; Magnoliopsida; Rosales; Cannabaceae. The transcript has 5 exons. The record is from RefSeq and is a predicted model, not a curated record.